AGGUUUAAAGCGGAAGUUUUCGGAUGGAAGCAAUAAACUUUAGCGGCGGACGGGUGAGUAACGCGUGGGUAACCUGCCUCAUACAGGGGGAUAACAGUUAGAAAUGACUGCUAAAACCGCAUAAGCGCACAUUGUCGAGUGACAGAGUGUGAAAAACUCCGGUGGUAUGAGAUGGACCCGCGUCUGAUUAGCUAGUUGGUGAGGUAACGGCCCACCAAGGCGACGAUCAGUAGCCGGCCUGAGAGGGCGACCGGCCACAUUGGGACUGAGACACGGCCCAAACUCCUACGGGAGGCAGCAGUGGGGAAUAUUGCACAAUGGGGGAAACCCUGAUGCAGCGACGCCGCGUGAGUGAAGAAGUAUUUCGGUAUGUAAAGCUCUAUCAGCAGGGAAGAAGAAAGACGGUACCUGACUAAGAAGCCCCGGCUAACUACGUGCCAGCAGCCGCGGUAAUACGUAGGGGGCAAGCGUUAUCCGGAUUUACUGGGUGUAAAGGGAGCGUAGACGGCUGUGCAAGUCUGAAGUGAAAGCCCAGGGCUCAACCCUGGGACUGCUUUGGAAACUGUGGAGCUAGAGUGCUGGAGAGGUAAGUGGAAUUCCUAGUGUAGCGGUGAAAUGCGUAGAUAUUAGGAGGAACACCAGUGGCGAAGGCGGCUUACUGGACAGUAACUGACGUUGAGGCUCGAAAGCGUGGGGAGCAAACAGGAUUAGAUACCCUGGUAGUCCACGCGGUAAACGAUGAAUACUAGGUGUUGGAGAGCAAAGCUUUUCGGUGCCGUCGCAAACGCAAUAAGUAUUCCACCUGGGGAGUACGUUCGCAAGAAUG
RNAcentral lists this ribosomal RNA (826 nucleotides) under uncultured bacterium. Its description in RNAcentral is "bacterial SSU rRNA". It matches the Rfam family "Bacterial small subunit ribosomal RNA", at positions 59 to 896 of the family's 1533-position model. The record is from RNAcentral.